RNAcentral lists this ribosomal RNA (484 nucleotides) under uncultured bacterium. RNAcentral describes it as "partial 16S ribosomal RNA". It matches the Rfam family "Bacterial small subunit ribosomal RNA", at positions 30 to 507 of the family's 1533-position model. The record is from RNAcentral.
AUUGAACGCUGGCGGCAGGCCUAACACAUGCCAGUCGAGCGGAUGAAGGGAGCUUGCUCCUGGAUUCAGCGGCGGACGGGUGAGUAAUGCCUAGGAAUCUGCCUGGUAGUGGGGGAUAACGUCCGGAAACGGGCGCUAAUACCGCAUACGUCCUGAGGGAGAAAGUGGGGGAUCUUCGGACCUCACGCUAUCAGAUGAGCCUAGGUCGGAUUAGCUAGUUGGUGGGGUAAAGGCCUACCAAGGCGACGAUCCGUAACUGGUCUGAGAGGAUGAUCAGUCACACUGGAACUGAGACACGGUCCAGACUCCUACGGGAGGCAGCAGUGGGGAAUAUUGGACAAUGGGCGAAAGCCUGACCCAGCCAUGCCGCGUGUGUGAAGAAGGUCUUCGGAUUGUAAAGCACUUUAAGUUGGGAGGAAGGGCAGUAAGUUAAUACCUUGCUGUUUUGACGUUACCAACAGAAUAAGCACCGGCUAACUUCGUG